GAUUCUCAACCCUGCAGUUACUACAGAGGUGACUCUUGCUCACAGCCUGGAGUCUAAGCUCAGGAGGAUGGUCCUUCUAGAAACUAGCUCCCCAAAUCUUCUGUCACUUCACCUGCUCAGACUAUCUAACCCAGCGCCAUUUGCUCGGAAGCAAAGAGGGUAGCUGAGGGUUAUGUGCCGUUUCUGGAAGUAUCUAGAUUACAUCUAAUAAGAAUGUUUUUCUAUGUCUUACACUUUCCCUCUGCAGCAGACGUUUCUACCGGGCCAGUCACAUGACCUCCAGAUACAGCAGGCUGUGUAUGAUAAGGCUGCAGGCUCCAUCCAGAUCAGUCUAACCAAGUGACUCCAUGGGACUUGGACACCUGUCUGGUGAUAUUCUCCUGGCCCCAUCUUUUCACUCAGAGCAUACCCUCUCACCCGCGUGCUUCUGAGUUAAUGUCCCAGGCAGUGUGCCCUGAUAAAGAUCUGGAACUGUGGGAUUAAUGGGGGGUGGCCAGGCCUCCCGGGAGGGCGGCAUUUGGCCUCCAGAGUCCUGGCCUCCAGCCUUGCUGGUGACCUUGUUUGUGGGCGACCUCAAGAGAUCACAGCGUCCUGGAAAUCCCAUUUCUGCAGUCCUCCUUGGAAUGGUGUUCCCUGGCAGUAUUUAGUGCAUCUGUAACAGAUACCUAGUCCUGGGAUGGGGGUGCUUACAGUGUCUGAGCACCAGGGGACUUGGGCUUUCAGGUAAAACCAAAGGAACUUCAUCAAGGACCCCAACAUGAAACCCUGCAUACUACCUUGUCACUACAUGAAUGGCAAAUUAUAGUCAUCAUGAUACUGCAAUCCUGGGGGCCUGCCCUGUGUAUAACACCCCUGACUCCAUUGAGACAGUUGGGAGUAUAGUGUCAGCAAAUUAAGCCAAGCACAUGACUAAGACUAAAUGGGUUGGCCACGUUUAAUUCAUGCAGAUUUGGGGCGGGGCAGGGAACCUAUUGUUUCUUUCCCUCCCAUCUUUGAAUAGGGGGUGCUGACUAACUAAUUUGGGGGAUCCAAAAAACCUGUGUUUGUGGUUGCUAGGGGUAGUGGCUCCCUUCUGGCCAAUGGGAGCUGCCCAUCACGCAGGAUGUGAUUUCGGGUCACUUCUGCAAGUGUAGCCCUCCAGGAAAGCAAGUGCCAGUGUAUGUGGUGGUGGUGUUGGGGGGAGGGGAACAGGUUUUUCUUUACUGCAAUGAAAUCCCAAUUUUCAGAAAGGCUCCCAAGUCCCCUACACAUAACUCCACUAGCAGGAAAUCUCUAAGUGUAUGCGGAGAACACUAAGAAGGACAACAGGGGAGGUUCAGGAGUUCCAUAGAGUGUCCCAUGACUGUCUUCCAGGGGGAACACAUCUCAAUGGUAGUCUCUGGAGGCCAACUUUAAGGGAGGGGACAAGAAGGCGGAACCAAGAAGAGGAAAGAGGGCAUUUCUCUUGUGCGGGGAGCUGUGGAAAACUGGCAGGAACCAGAAGGACACUAUCUCAUCUGUUUUAAUAUGCGAGAGCCCCUACACUGUGACAGAUAAGGCAAUGGCUGGUGCUUAAGACAGGCCAGGAAUGUCCCUCCUCUCCAGUCGAGGGACAGGCUAGUUCCAGCUGAGACACACGCUCCCCCCAGCCCCCAUGACAGAGCAAGGACAGGUACUAAUAAAUGAGAAGAACUUUGGGAGCCUCUGUGUGUCCUCGGUGGGCAACGACUGGGAUCCUUGGGGGUGCCCCUCCUCCAUCAAACUGGGCGGGGGUGUCAGGAUCACCUGAAAAGGCGGCCAAGGGUGACCCAAGCCCUGAUCCCCUGUGGGACAACGAGGAGCUUAACUAGCCCCGGGCUGCAUGAAAGAGGAAGGGAGGCCAGAGAACAAAGCUGUGCCAAUUUGCUCUUUGGGGCAUUGUGCAAACUGGCCCCUUUCCCAGCGUAUCACUCUCCCAUUGAACAAGGUCAAGCGCCGCCACAGUCCUUCCGCAGCCCUGAUGGGUUUUCAGGAGCUGGUGAAUGGCGUGCAAAUUAGCCAAGUCCUCGGGAGCCUCGUUACUGUCACUCCCAAACCGAAGCUCCAGAGGCAACGUGAGGAUUAAUCAAUCCAGAAAGCUCGCCCAUUAUCAAAGCAAGGUGGAAGACACACCUACACUUCGACUGACAGUUCAACCCUGACACGUGUCAACGUAUGGCAGAACACCUCGAGGUUGGCAGCCCUGAACCCACACCAGCAAGUGACCAGUGAGCAAGCAAACAUGGUGUCUAGUGAGCAGUUACGGCAUAUACAGUCCAUGAGGAACUGGAGAAACACCGCGUUAAGGGAUUCGGAAUAAUCUCUGAAAUGAACAGACAGGCCAAUAUCCAGCGACUCUAUAAAUAUAAAUCUAAUGAGUUCGUAGCUAAAGAAUGAGUCAGCAAAUUUAUCUACUAAAUAAAGAUGAGCGAGUGAGUAAAUA
Molecule: small RNA, 2440 nt
Filed under: Rattus norvegicus (Norway rat)
Lineage: Eukaryota; Metazoa; Chordata; Mammalia; Rodentia; Muridae
Description: uncharacterized LOC102555433
Source: RNAcentral